RNAcentral lists this ribosomal RNA (369 nucleotides) under uncultured organism. Its description in RNAcentral is "bacterial SSU rRNA". It matches the Rfam family "Bacterial small subunit ribosomal RNA", at positions 526 to 896 of the family's 1533-position model. The record is from RNAcentral.
CGAAGGAUGCAAGCGUUAUCCGGAUUCAUUGGGUUUAAAGGGUGCGUAGGCGGACUUGUAAGUCAGUGGUGAAAUCUCUCAGCUUAACUGAGAAACUGCCAUUGAUACUGCAGGUCUAGAGUAUAGAUGACGUUGGCGGAAUAUGACAUGUAGUGGUGAAAUACUUAGGUAUGUCAUAGAACACCGAUUGCGAAGGCAGCUAACGAAACUAUAACUGACGCUGAGGCACGAAAGUGCGGGGAUCAAACAGGAUUAGAUACCCUGGUAGUCCGCACCGUAAACGAUGAUUACUCGUUGUUGGCGAUAUGACAGUCAGCGACCAAGCGAAAGCGAUAAGUAAUCCACCUGGGGAGUACGCCGGCAACGGUG